This 903-nucleotide ribosomal RNA is filed under the name uncultured archaeon. RNAcentral describes it as "bacterial SSU rRNA". It matches the Rfam family "Archaeal small subunit ribosomal RNA", at positions 14 to 923 of the family's 1478-position model. The record is from RNAcentral.
CCGCCGGAGGCGACCGCUAUUGGAGUUCGAUUAAGCCAUGCGAGUCGAGAGUCUUAGGGACUCGGCAUACUGCUCAGUAACACGUGGAUAACCUGCCCUGUACUGGAGAAUAACCUCGGGAAACUGAGAAUAAUACUCCAUAGACCACAAUGCCUGGAACGGUUUGUGGUUCAAAGCUCCGGCGGUACAGGAUGGGUCUGCGGCGUAUCAGGUUGUAGGGGGUGUAAAGGACCUCCUAGCCAUUGACGCGUACGGGUUGUGGGAGCAAUAGCCCGGAGAUGGAUUCUGAGACACGAAUCCAGACCCUACGGGGUGCAGCAGGCGCGAAAACUUCACACUGCGGGAAACCGUGAUGAGGGAACUCCAAGUGUUAGCACAAUGUGCUAUCUUUUCUUGACUUUUAAUAGGUCUUGGAAUAAGGGGCGGGAAAGACCGGUGCCAGCCGCCGCGGUAAUACCGGCGCCUCAAGUGGUCGUCGCUUUUAUUGGGCCUAAAACGUCCGUAGCCUGUUUGGUAAACCCGUGGGUAAAUCAACGAGCUUAACUCAUUGACUUCUGCGGAGACUGCCAGACUAGGGACCGGGAGAGGUGUAGGGUACUCAUGGGGUAGGGGUAAAAUCCUGUCAUCCCAUGAGGACCACCUGUUGCGAAGGCGCUACACUGGAACGGAUCCGACGGUCAGGGACGAAGCCUAGGGGCACGAACCGGAUUAGAUACCCGGGUAGUCCUAGGUGUAAACGCUGUGGACUUGGUGUUGGGGAUCCGACAGGGGUUCCCAGUGCCGGAGCGAAGGUGUUAAGUCCACUGCCUGGGGAGUACGGUCGCAAGGCUGAAACUUAAAGGAAUUGGCGGGGGAGCACUGCAACGGGAGGAGCGUGCGGUUUAAUUGGAGUCAACGCCGGGG